This 253-nucleotide ribosomal RNA is filed under the name uncultured bacterium. RNAcentral's name for it is "partial 16S ribosomal RNA". It matches the Rfam family "Bacterial small subunit ribosomal RNA", at positions 524 to 776 of the family's 1533-position model. The record is from RNAcentral.
UACAAAGGGGGCAAGCGUUGUUCGGAAUUACUGGGCGUAAAGGGCGCGUAGGCGGCCGAUCAAGUCAGGCGUGAAAUUCCCGGGCUCAACCUGGGGGCUGCGCUUGAUACUGAUUGGCUUGAAUGCGGGAGAGGAUAGUGGAAUUCCCAGUGUAGAGGUGAAAUUCGUAGAUAUUGGGAAGAACACCAGUGGCGAAGGCGGCUAUCUGGCCCGUUAUUGACGCUGAGGCGCGAAAGCGUGGGGAGCAAACAGG